This 1019-nucleotide long non-coding RNA is filed under the name Triticum aestivum (bread wheat). Its description in RNAcentral is "long non-coding RNA (TAES_LNC020918)". The record is from RNAcentral. Lineage: Eukaryota; Viridiplantae; Streptophyta; Magnoliopsida; Poales; Poaceae.
GAUAUUAUUUGCAGAUUUUAGGAAAGGAAACCUGACAGAGUUCCAGGGAAGUGGAGUGAGUUCCCUAUUUACAUUUAAAUUGUACUCCCUUCCUUCUUGAAAAGAAGGCAUAUCAGUUUUGGUCAAAGUCAAACAAUGUAUUGGUUUGCUCUUUUGCUACAUGUUCUUAAAUUAUUGCAUGAUGCAUCUCUAGGCGGUGAGACCAGAAGCUGGGUGAUCAAAGCAACUACAUGAUGCAUCUCUGUCUAUGUAGCUGUUUACCAUAAGCUGGGUGAUCAAAGCAAUCUACAUGAUGCAUCUCUGUCUAUGUAGUUGUUUACCAUAAGCUGGGUGAUCAAAGCAAUCUACAUGAUGCAUCUCUGUCUAUGUAGCUGUUUACCAUAAGCUGGGUGAUCAAAGCAAUCUACAUGAUGCAUCUCUGUCUAUGUAGCUGUUUACCAUAAGCUGGGUGAUCAAAACAAUCUACAUGAUGCAUCUCUAUCUAUGUAGCUUUACUUAGCAUAAACUGAUCUUAAUGACUUUGUUUAAACCUAUGAGCCUACCAUCUAUGUAGCUUCAUACCAUCUAUAUAAUGUGUCCCUUCCUAUCUACUUCCCUUGUGUAUCACAUUGUAACGAAGCAUUUAUUUACCAGCAGUAAAGACUUGGGUGUUUGAAUAUUCCCACAAUUCUUGGCUCCCUCUCGGCCUUUGCGCCAUUGGCGCAACGAGUCAUCUAGUUGCUAUUAAGGGUAACAAGAUGGGGUUUAUUCAUACGUGAGUUUAUCUUGCCUACAUCAUGUCAUCUUGCCUAAUGCAUUACUUUGUUUUUCUAUGAACUUAAUACACUCAAUGCAUGCUAGAUAGCGGUCGAGUAAUAGUAGUAGAUGUAGAAUCGUUUCAGUCUACUAAUCUUGGACAUGAUGCCUAUAUACAUGAUCAUGGCCUUGGAUAUCGUCAUAAUUAUUUAUUUUUCUAUCAAUUGCCCAACAGUAAUUCAUUUACCCAUCGUAUGCUAUUUUCUCGAGAGAAGCCUCUAGCG